Molecule: long non-coding RNA, 920 nt
Organism: Bos taurus (domestic cattle)
Lineage: Eukaryota; Metazoa; Chordata; Mammalia; Artiodactyla; Bovidae
Source: Ensembl
AAGUGAAGGAGCUGAAUCAGCAGGAGGGAUGAGAUUAGACUACAGAGGGAUUUUAUUUACCCACUGACAGCGAUUUUUUCAAGGAAUCUCCAUGCUGUUUUCCAUAGUGGCUGUACCAACGUAAUUCCCGUCAACAGUGUAGGAGGGGUCAUUCAUUCUUGAUUUUGUAAUUUUCACACUUGGGAUUCCCAUCUGUCUACAAUCCCAUUUUUACAAAUGAAGACACCAGCUUGAGAGAUAUAGACAUGCACAUGUCUGAGCAUAAAAUAUAAGUGGCCAAAAAGCAUAUGAAAAGCAUCAGUCUUUUCCAAAGAGUCAACUCUUCGCAUGAGGUGGCCAAAGUACUGGAGUUUCAGCUUUAGCAUCAUUCCUUCCAAAGAAAUCCCAGGGCUGAUCUCCUUCAGAAUGGACUGGUUGGAUCUCCUUGAAGUCCAAGGGACUCUCAAGAGUCUUCUCCAAGCAUCACUGACUCGAUGGACAUGAGUCUGAGUGAAAUCCAGGAGUUGGUGAUGGACAGGGAGACCUGGCGUGCUGUGAUUCAUGGGGUCACAAAGAGUUGGACACAACUGAGCGACUGAACUGAACUGACUGACUGAACUGAAGCACUUAAUAAACAUGAGCUGAGGGAUUUCCCUGGUGGCUCAGUGGUAAAGAAUCUGCCUGUCAAUGCAGGAGACAUGGGUUCCAUCUCCGGUCUGAGAGGAUCCCACAUGCCACAGAGCAACUAAUCCUGUGUACCUGCACCACAACUAAGGAGCCUGUGCUCUAGAGCCUGGGAACCACAACUACUGACCCCAUGUGCCUCAGUUACUGAAAUGUGUGCCCUAGAGCCCAUGCUCUGCAACAAGAGAAGCCCCUGAAAUGAGAUGCCUGCUUACCUCAACUAGAGAGUAGCCUGCACAGCAACAAAGACACAAUAC